This 277-nucleotide ribosomal RNA is filed under the name uncultured bacterium. Its description in RNAcentral is "partial 16S ribosomal RNA". It matches the Rfam family "Bacterial small subunit ribosomal RNA", at positions 523 to 797 of the family's 1533-position model. The record is from RNAcentral.
AUACGUAGGGGGCAAGCGUUAUCCGGAUUUACUGGGUGUAAAGGGAGCGUAGACGGAAGGCCAAGUCUGAUGUGAAAGCCCACGGCUCAACUGCGGGACUGCAUUGGAAACUGGUCAUCUGGAGUGCAGGAGGGGUAAGCGGAAUUCCUAGUGUAGCGGUGAAAUGCGUAGAUAUUAGGAGGAACACCGGUGGCGAAGGCGACUUACUGGACUGUAACUGACACUGAGGCACGAAAGCGUGGGGAGCAAACAGGAUUAGAUACCCUACAGUACUCAA